AUUGAACGCUGGCGGCAUGCCUUACACAUGCAAGUCGAACGGCAGCACGGGAGCAAUCCUGGUGGCGAGUGGCGAACGGGUGAGUAAUAUAUCGGAACGUGCCCAGUCGUGGGGGAUAACGUAGCGAAAGCUACGCUAAUACCGCAUACGAUCUAUGGAUGAAAGCGGGGGAUCGCAAGACCUCGCGCGAUUGGAGCGGCCGAUAUCAGAUUAGGUAGUUGGUGGGUAAAGGCUCACCAAGCCGACGAUCUGUAGCUGGUCUGAGAGGACGACCAGCCACACUGGGACUGAGACACGGCCCAGACUCCUACGGGAGGCAGCAGUGGGGAAUUUUGGACAAUGGGCGCAAGCCUGAUCCAGCAAUGCCGCGUGCAGGAUGAAGGCCUUCGGGUUGUAAACUGCUUUUGUACGGAACGAAACGGUGAGCUCUAAUACAGUUUGCUAAUGACGGUACCGUAAGAAUAAGCACCGGCUAACUACGUG
RNAcentral lists this ribosomal RNA (483 nucleotides) under uncultured bacterium. Its description in RNAcentral is "bacterial SSU rRNA". It matches the Rfam family "Bacterial small subunit ribosomal RNA", at positions 30 to 507 of the family's 1533-position model. The record is from RNAcentral.